CACGAGUGCGCGCCGUGUCGUUUUUUUCACUGUCGUGCUCCGCGCCACUUUCCCUCUUCCACGGACAUAUCGACGCUCACGCAUAUCUAUAGAGGCGAGCAAGUGUGCAUGCGAGGCGAAGCGUCGUCGUGAAAGCAGAAGAAACAACAGCGAGUGCCUGGUGCCCCUCCAACGCAUUCUGCCCGCCCUCCUCCUCUUUCAACCCCACCACCGGCAUCGGUGCCUACAUUUCGCUAUUGUGCUCUUCCUCCCCUUCCCCUCCCAACGCACCGCCUCUCUCAGGCUGCCUACAUCCACCUAUCCCUCCAAACACACACUCACGGCGGCGGAAGCGGCGCAGCGCUGUUCUCGGCACCUUCGACGCGCUGAGUGUCGCGUGCCCUGCGUUGGAUCCUUUGCGCUCUGCCUUCACCGUUCUCGGGAGGCGUAACUCUUUGGUUUGCUUGUGCUGUUCACAGGUGGGCGGUUUUUCUUGGUCGCUGCUCAUGCCAGACGUCAACUGGGCUCUUGAGGAGAAUGGAGCUCACAUCGCCGAGGUGUCUCACGAGGCGGUGCACGUCGCCAGCAUCGCCUCCAACCUGCUGAAGCCCCGCGAAGACCAGCUUUGGAUCACCGGCGACGCCCCGCAAUACGUGACGGUGUCUCUCUCCCCAUCCCACCCGCCGCUGCAGUACGCCGGGUGGCAUGUGUGGCACGACUACCUUACCAAUCCCCACAUGGUUGAGAUCGCGUCUGGUGCAUCGCCAGACACGAUGAGCGCCCUCCUUGUGUGCCAAGCACUACCCGGGGCUGGUACUCAGGUGUGGAAGCUUCCGCGUGCGAUCCCGCAAGACCACCAAUACGUGCGCUUCCGGAUUAUGAGCACCUUCGGCCCAGGUCCGACGUACAUGAACAACAUCGUGCUACUGGAGAACGACCCUGGCCCGGGCUACAACGCGUACGGACAACACGUAGAAGACUCCGCGACUACAGCGGAUGACAUUCUUCGUGGAGAAUCUGCUGCUCGGCACCCAACUGCCGCUGCAGCGUCGCCCUACAUGUCACCUCCGACAUCCGUCUUGCGACCACCUGCUUUCGGUGGCGGCAUGGACAGAAGCCCUCUACCGCGGCGGGCCCCACCGACGUCGGCGCUGCCUGGCGCCUCUCCCAUCUCCACCGCAAACCCGCGCGACGAUCGUUCGGCGGAUGUCGGGGUGUUCAUUGCCCCCGGGCCGUCUGCUUCAGCGCACCGCGGUGAGCGCGCGGACGGCGGCGCUGGCGGCCGCUCGCCGGGAGGAGCUCGCAGCAGCAGCCGCAUGAGCCAACUGCUCCGUGACCUCGAUGACGAUAUCAAGAUGCUGAAGCCGAUCAAGAUCGUCAGUCCAAGAAAGAAGAUGCUCUUGUGCGUGCCCCAGGACUCGCACGCGAAGUCGGCGGACAGCAGGAGCGAGGAUGAUUACUUUGAGGCCCGGCAGGGCGGCGGCCAUCGCGAAGGGAGCGCCAAUGGUAAGGCCCACCACAGUGGCGAGAACGAUUCUAGCGAACAUCGUCGUCACCACCGGCAUCACCGUCGCAGCAGUAGUCGCCGCCGGAAUUUCAGUGGCCGCGAGGAGCGUAGCGACAACAGCAGGUCUGCGCAGCUGGAGGGCAGCCAUGCACCCCACUCAGUGCCGAUGGGCGCCAAACAAAUGGCUUUGGCAGUUUGGCCGCCGCCGGCGGUACCCCCCUCCGCAGUAGAGCUCAGCUCCCUGCACGGCGAGCGACUCAGUGCACUGGAGCAAGCAGUUGCAGUGCUGCACGCGACGGUGCAGCACCAGCGCGACGAUCUCAGUAUGAUCAAGCGUGUGCUACUGCAGCAAGCAACGGAGCGCCGCAAGGAGGCGGCGCAGCGGUGCGAGGAAAAGCAGAAGAUGGGCACCGUCGCCGUUGCGCUCCCAGCGGCACUGGCUGCACCGCCCGGUGCACCUUCAUCGGCUGUCGCCGCCGACGCCAAGGCCCCUGUGUUACAGAUAGCUGCACCCGAUCAGCGUCUGACGCACCGCAGCAUCACGGUCGGCUUUCCCGAAGACGCUCUGCGCACCUAUGUCGAGUCCGUGCUAGACCACAAGCUGCGCAAGCAGAUGAAAAAGGUCGAGGCAAAGUUGCUGCAGCGGUUGGACAAGCAGCUGCAUGAUGUGAUCAAGGUUCUCUCCGUCACCAUUGAAGGCCGGCUGGCUGGGCUGGCCUCGUCAAGCGCGACGGCGCAGCAGCAGGCAGCGCCGUCACACCGGCCCUUCUAUGCGGGGCGCUCGACGCCGACGCAAGCUGGCGGCCUGCCGACAGCCUCGUCCUCUGCUGUGCGCGACAUACCUCGCAGCUCCGUCAUGGGGGGCGGCCCCGGAAUCGAUCUUGGCGAUGCCGCUUCCUCUCCCAGUUCAUCGAAAGGGUAUUACUAUCACACACCGCUGACGCGCACUGGCUCAAGCGCGAGAGGGCCGGCGGGUGGCUCCGCUACCGCAGCGUUUCCGGUGUCUUAUGUGGCUAUGCGCAACUCGCCGAACGCCUAUCGUGCCACCACCGGUGCACCACCUGUCUCCAUCACCAAGGGCCGCUUCUUUUGAGGAAUGAGAGAAGAGAUCGUACGGGUCGCUUUCUCCUCCUCCCCCUUUUCCGCCUCCGAGUGGCACGCGCGUGGGGCUCGUACGGUAGAGGCUUAUAUUACUACGACUAUAGACUCUGUACUCAUACUACGACUACCCCGCCUAUGAAUUUCGUCUUCCUUUUUUUUGUUCGCGGCUCCACAUGAAGCCGUGAAGGAGCCUUCGCCCAAUAGCCGUUGUGCUGGUGUGCGUGUGUCGGUGCGUGUGUUUAUGUGUCUUAUCGCCCUGUGGGGAAUAUUUUCGCUCUCACUUGUCCCCUGAUUUCUCUCAGUUUGUGCGUGUAACCGGCUGGGUAACUGUGCCAGCGAGCUCUUCGUCGGGAUGCCAUGGUCUUCUCUUGAUGACAUGUGCAGUCCCACAGCGCACGAUUGUUUCGUCUUCAUCGCUUCACAUUCGCACCUGCCCCGAUUCAGCUCCUGCUCCGCCAAAGACUUUUUCUUCACGCUGCCCCCCCCCAACCACCAUCACCUCCGUUUCGCUUGUUUUCCGUUCUCCAACACAUUCCUCGCUUUCUCUUCACUUCUUCUCAUCUUGUACAUCGCCCACUCGGCCAUCAAUGUUUUAUGGUCUGCCGCCGUCUCGUCUCGUCUCGUCUUUGUUCUUCCUGUUAGACACUUCCCUCAUGUACGUGUGCUUCACGCACAAACCGGUCGUUCCUUCAACCGCCUUCCUCUUCUCCCUUUCCGUCCCUGUUCCUGCCACCGCCAAGCUGUGAGGGAGGCAAGCAAGAAGAGGGGUUAGGCCGAAGAUGAGAGGGCCUCCUCCAGUCUUCGCGAGCGCGCCGCACACGCGUGCGAAAGACGAACAACGAAAAAUGUAUACUGCAGUGCUGCGUGCUGCUUUGCUUGCGUUGCGCAUGAGGUGCUCUUGUGCUGCUCCCUUGCACUACGAGGGGGGCGGGCUGGUGGGCUGCACGCGUGUCCGCUGCAUGGGCGCGCUCCUGGGUUCAGCAGAGCAAGUUGGCUACUCACGAGAGACGCCAGUGCUCAUGUGUGUGCUUGUGCAUGAGCAGUCAUGGUACAUGUGACUUUGUGCAUUUGCGUGGCCAAGAGCGGCUCCGCUACGGUCACCGCCGCACACGCACACGUGCACACAAACACACAUACAAACACUGUACAAAUACAUGGAAGCCACUCGCUUGAUGUGUGCCCCUCCCCGUUUCCCUCCCCCGACGCCACUCGGCAUGCACUUCUGCCAUCACGGGCAUCGUUGCUUCUCGUCUUCACCUCUGUCUCUCUAUCUCCGUAUGACGGAGCACAUGCUUUUUGUGUGUGUGCUUGUCGUUGUUGCUUCUAG
This 3914-nucleotide unclassified non-coding RNA is filed under the name Leishmania donovani. Its description in RNAcentral is "gene:LdHU3.27.2130(CDS-product:hypothetical_prote in_conserved)". Lineage: Eukaryota; Euglenozoa; Kinetoplastea; Trypanosomatida; Trypanosomatidae. The record is from RNAcentral.